GGGGUAUGGGGACGGCCCGUUUCACCCUCAUACCGGACGGGGUAUUGAGGUUUAUGGUUUUGGCGCCCAUACCGGACGGGGUAUGGGGACGGCCCGUUUCACCCUCAUAUCGGACGGGGUAUUGAGGUUCAUGGUUUUGGCGCCCAUACCGGACGGGGUAUGGGGACGGCCCUGGAAACUGAUUAUGAAUGUUAAAGGUUAACGGGUAGCGGAACCCCUAUGGACCCC
This 228-nucleotide long non-coding RNA is filed under the name Carica papaya (papaya). RNAcentral describes it as "long non-coding RNA (CPAP_LNC005707)". The record is from RNAcentral. Lineage: Eukaryota; Viridiplantae; Streptophyta; Magnoliopsida; Brassicales; Caricaceae.